RNAcentral lists this ribosomal RNA (497 nucleotides) under uncultured bacterium. Its description in RNAcentral is "partial 16S ribosomal RNA". It matches the Rfam family "Bacterial small subunit ribosomal RNA", at positions 28 to 507 of the family's 1533-position model. The record is from RNAcentral.
GAUGAACGCUGGCGGCGUGCCUAAUACAUGCAAGUCGAGCGAACGGACGAGAAGCUUGCUUCUCUGAUGUUAGCGGCGGACGGGUGGGUAACACGUGGAUAACCUACCUAUAAGACUGGGAUAACUUCGGGAAACCGGAGCUAAUACCGGAUAAUAUUUUGAACCGCAUGGUUCAAAAGUAAAAGACGGUCUUGCUGUCACUUAUAGAUGGAUCCGCGCUGCAUUAGCUAGUUGGUAAGGUAACGGCUUACCAAGGCAACGAUGCAUAGCCGACCUGAGAGGGUGAUCGGCCACACUGGAACUGAGACACGGUCCAGACUCCUACGGGAGGCAGCAGUAGGGAAUCUUCCGCAAUGGGCGAAAGCCUGACGGAGCAACGCCGCGUGAGUGAUGAAGGUCUUCGGAUCGUAAAACUCUGUUAUUAGGGAAGAACAUAUGUGUAAGUAACUGUGCACAUCUUGACGGUACCUAAUCAGAAAGCCACGGCUAACUACGUG